This 209-nucleotide ribosomal RNA is filed under the name uncultured Thauera sp. RNAcentral describes it as "partial 16S ribosomal RNA". It matches the Rfam family "Bacterial small subunit ribosomal RNA", at positions 1174 to 1382 of the family's 1533-position model. Lineage: Bacteria; Pseudomonadati; Pseudomonadota; Betaproteobacteria; Rhodocyclales; Zoogloeaceae. The record is from RNAcentral.
UGGGGAUGACGUCAAGUCCUCAUGGCCCUUAUGGGUAGGGCUUCACACGUCAUACAAUGGUCGGUACAGAGGGUUGCCAAGCCGCGAGGUGGAGCCAAUCCCUUAAAGCCGAUCGUAGUCCGGAUCGUAGUCUGCAACUCGACUACGUGAAGUCGGAAUCGCUAGUAAUCGCAGAUCAGCAUGCUGCGGUGAAUACGUUCCCGGGUCUU